GAUGAAGAACGUAGCGAAAUGCGAUAAGUAGUGUGAAUUGCAGAAUUCAGUGAAUCAUCGAAUCUUUGAACGCACAUUGCGCCCCAUGGUAUUCCGUGGGGCAUGCCUGUUCGAGCGUCAUUUACCCCCUCAAGCUCCGCUUGGUGUUGGGCGUCUGUCCCGCUUCGCGCGCGGACUCGCCCCAAAGGUAUUGGCAGCGGUCGUGCCAGCUUCUCGCGCAGCACAUUGCGCUUCUCGAGGCACCGGUGGGCCCGCGUCCAUCAAGCUCACCCCCCCAGUUUGACCUCGGAUCAGGUAGGGAUACCCGCUGAACUUAAGCAUAUCAAUAAGCGGGA
Molecule: unclassified non-coding RNA, 335 nt
Filed under: soil metagenome
Description: partial contains 5.8S ribosomal RNA, internal transcribed spacer 2, and large subunit ribosomal RNA
Rfam family: 5.8S ribosomal RNA (bases 1-120)
Source: RNAcentral